CGCGUAGACGGUUUUGUAAGUCAGAUGUGAAAUCCCUGGGCUCAACCUGGGAACUGCAUUUGAAACUGCAUGGCUAGAGUAUGGAAGAGGGAAGUGGAAUUUCCGGUGUAGCGGUGAAAUGCGUAGAUAUCGGAAGGAACACCAGUGGCGAAAGCGACUUCCUGGUCCAAUACUGACGUUCAUGUGCGAAAGCGUGGGGAGCAAACAGGAUUAGAUACCCUGGUAGUCCACGCCAUAAACGAUGACAACUAGAUGUUGGGAGGGUCUGCCUCUCGGUGUCGCAGCUAACGCGUUAAGUUGUCCGGCCUGGGGAGUACGGCCGCAAGGUUAGA
Molecule: ribosomal RNA, 332 nt
Filed under: uncultured bacterium
Lineage: Bacteria
Description: bacterial SSU rRNA
Rfam family: Bacterial small subunit ribosomal RNA
Source: RNAcentral